RNAcentral lists this ribosomal RNA (301 nucleotides) under uncultured bacterium. RNAcentral's name for it is "partial 16S ribosomal RNA". It matches the Rfam family "Bacterial small subunit ribosomal RNA", at positions 509 to 807 of the family's 1533-position model. The record is from RNAcentral.
CAGUCGCCGCGGGAAUACAGAGGGUGCGAGCGUUAAUCGGAUUUACUGGGCGUAAAGCGUGCGUAGGCGGCUAAUUGAGUCGGAUGUGAAAUCCCCGAGCUUAACUUGGGAAUUGCAUUCGAUACUGGUUAGCUAGAGUGUGGGAGAGGAUGGUAGAAUUCCAGGUGUAGCGGUGAAAUGCGUAGAGAUCUGGAGGAAUACCAAUGGCGAAGGCAGCCAUCUGGCCUAACACUGACGCUGAGGUACGAAAGCAUGUGGAGCAAACAGGAUUAGAUACCCCAGUAGUCCCUGUCUCUUAUAC